UACGAGUGCCCCAAGCGUUAUCCGGAAUUAUUGGGCGUAAAGGGUGAGUAGGUGGUCAUAUUAGUCUUGUGUUAAAGCCUUCGGCUCAACCGAAGAUCUGCAUAGGAAACGGUAUGACUAGAGUGUGUGAGAGGUACGUAGAACUCAUGGAGUAGGGGUGAAAUCCGUUGAUACCAUGGGGAAUACCAAAAGCGUAGGCAGCGUACUGGCACAUGACUGACACUGAAUCACGAAAGCGUGGGUAGCGAAUGGG
RNAcentral lists this ribosomal RNA (253 nucleotides) under uncultured bacterium. RNAcentral describes it as "partial 16S ribosomal RNA". It matches the Rfam family "Bacterial small subunit ribosomal RNA", at positions 524 to 776 of the family's 1533-position model. The record is from RNAcentral.